Long non-coding RNA from Helianthus annuus (common sunflower), 681 nucleotides. RefSeq lists it as uncharacterized. The record is from RefSeq and is a predicted model, not a curated record. The transcript has 2 exons. Lineage: Eukaryota; Viridiplantae; Streptophyta; Magnoliopsida; Asterales; Asteraceae.
CAAACAACCACCUCUCUCUCUCUCUCUCUCUCUCUCUCUCUCUCUCUCUCUCUUUCCUCUAUAUGUCUACUUAUAUUUGAAGCAAAGUUGACUUAUAUUAUUAUAUUGGGAGAUCCAUAAGGGCAAAUAUGAGUAGGAGAAAUAGUGGUGGUGGUGGCGGUAGAGAGGCAAAGCUUGACUUGAAGUUGCAUCUUUCGCCACCAAGAGCUCAAAGGCCAAUGGUAGAAUCACCAAACCAGUCUCCUACAAGUUCUUGUCUGUCUUCCGAGCACAGCUUUGAUGAAACCAGCAUCCGGUACUCAUCGAGCCCAGACGCCACGUCUAUGAUGUUGGCAGGGUGUCCUCGGUGCCUUAUGUAUGUCAUGCUUGCUGAGAAGUACCACCCUAAGUGCCCUAAAUGCAAAAGCACGGUUCUACUGGAUGUUCUCCAGGGUGGUAAUGUCAAGACAACAAAAAAGAGUUAGAAUGAACAAGACAAAAGGGUUUAAAAAUCAGUAGGAAAUUAUGUUCUUUCUUUUAGUAGCUUGUCUUUUUUUUUUUUUUUACUUGUUUUUUUUAUAUUUUAUUGUAAUGGGGUACUUCAUGUUGAAAGUUUAGGUUGGACUCCAAACAACAUUAUCCACUUUAACCUUCUAGUUUUUAUAUAGUUUAGUCGUUAUUAUGAGCUUAGUUAGCUCACUA